CGCGUAGGUGGCCUUCUAAGUUGAACGUGAAAUCCCUGGGCUCAACCCAGGAACUGCGUCCAAGACUGGGAGGCUUGAAUCCGGGAGAGGGAUGCGGAAUUCCAGGUGUAGCGGUGAAAUGCGUAGAUAUCUGGAGGAACACCGGUGGCGAAGGCGGCAUCCUGGACCGGUAUUGACACUGAGGCGCGAAGCCAGGGGAGCAAACG
Molecule: ribosomal RNA, 206 nt
Filed under: uncultured bacterium
Lineage: Bacteria
Description: partial 16S ribosomal RNA
Rfam family: Bacterial small subunit ribosomal RNA
Source: RNAcentral